This 636-nucleotide long non-coding RNA is filed under the name Glycine max (soybean). Its description in RNAcentral is "long non-coding RNA (GMAX_LNC001589)". The record is from RNAcentral. Lineage: Eukaryota; Viridiplantae; Streptophyta; Magnoliopsida; Fabales; Fabaceae.
UCAUUUAUUAUUAUCCUUAACGAUGAAGAUAUCAUCUAAAGGGACAAAGUGAAUACUAGAAUCUGAGCACAGUCCACUCGUGAGAAAUUCUUUGUUUCUUCAUGUAUGUCAACCAAAGCUUGUACUCCAUUGAAUGCCCCAUUGUGCUUUUCGAUCUGCCUCCUACUUCCACAAUCCUGCUCCCCUCCUAUCUUCCUCCAAAUCAAAGUCCAUAGAGUGCUUUAACAUGGAGAAGCCUAUUUCAAGCUACAUUUCACUUCCUUCACUUGAAACACGAUCUUUGUCAGAUCUAUAACUACCCCUGUUACAACCACAAUGGUUUACCACUAGAAUGGUAUCCUCCACAAUUCUUACUAAAUGAAUCUUGUCAUUGAUCAUUACCCUUAACGAUGAAGAUAUCAUCUGAAGGGACGAAGUGAACACCAUAAUUCAAGCAUAGUCUGCUCUCAAGAAAUUCUUUGUUUCUUCAUCUAUGUCAACCAAAGCUCAUAUUCCAUUGACAAUCCUUGAUAAGUAUUCUUCCCCCAACUAACAAGGGAAUGCCAUAGCACUUUACCCAAACCAACCUAUUUGCUAACCCCAAAUCUUCAUCCCAUUUUUGGAUUGUCUUGAAAAUUGACAAAGUUUUCAUCUUCC